This 73-nucleotide transfer RNA is filed under the name Chloroflexota bacterium. RNAcentral's name for it is "Chloroflexi bacterium (hot springs metagenome) tRNA-Ala". It matches the Rfam family "tRNA". Rfam says of the family: Transfer RNA (tRNA) molecules are approximately 80 nucleotides in length. Their secondary structure includes four short double-helical elements and three loops (D, anti-codon, and T loops). Further hydrogen bonds mediate the characteristic L-shaped molecular structure. tRNAs have two regions of fundamental functional importance: the anti-codon, which is responsible for specific mRNA codon recognition, and the 3' end, to which the tRNAs corresponding amino acid is attached (by aminoacyl-tRNA synthetases). tRNAs cope with the degeneracy of the genetic code in two manners: having more than one tRNA (with a specific anti-codon) for a particular amino acid; and 'wobble' base-pairing, i.e. permitting non-standard base-pairing at the 3rd anti-codon position. The record is from RNAcentral. Lineage: Bacteria; Bacillati; Chloroflexota. RNAcentral also lists the same sequence under 2 other names.
GGGGCGAUAGCUUAGCUGGGAGAGCGCCUGCUUUGCAAGCAGGAGGUCCGGGGUUCGAAUCCCCGUCGCUCCA